AAGUCGUAACAAGGUUUCCGUAGGUGAACCUGCGGAAGGAUCAUUACAACAAGGCCACGGGCCCCCGAAGCUCCGGCGGAAGGGGCACCGGCCUGACUUAUAUACCCACCCUUUGCCUAUGUGUACCUCUAUCGCUUCCUCGGCGGGCUCGCCCGCCGCUAGGAACCAACCAAACCCUUUGCAUCAUACAUCAACACUUCUGAUACCCACCAAAACUAUUACAACUUUUAACAAUGGAUCUCUUGGUUCUG
This 251-nucleotide unclassified non-coding RNA is filed under the name air metagenome. RNAcentral's name for it is "partial contains small subunit ribosomal RNA, internal transcribed spacer 1, and 5.8S ribosomal RNA". The stretch from base 1 to 46 matches the Rfam family "Eukaryotic small subunit ribosomal RNA", at positions 1786 to 1831 of the family's 1831-position model. The record is from RNAcentral.